AGUGAACGCUGGCGGUAGGCCUAACACAUGCAAGUCGAACGGCAGCACAGUAAGAGCUUGCUCUUACGGGUGGCGAGUGGCGGACGGGUGAGGAAUACAUCGGAAUCUACUUUUUCGUGGGGGAUAACGUAGGGAAACUUACGCUAAUACCGCAUACGACCUACGGGUGAAAGCAGGGGAUCUUCGGACCUUGCGCGAUUGAAUGAGCCGAUGUCGGAUUAGCUAGUUGGCGGGGUAAAGGCCCACCAAGGCGACGAUCCGUAGCUGGUCUGAGAGGAUGAGCCACCACACUGGAACUGAGACACGGUCCAGACUCCUACGGGAGGCAGCAGUGGGGAAUAUUGGAAAAUGGGAGCAAGCCUGAUCCAGCCAUACCGCGUGGGUGAAGAAGGCCUUCGGGUUGUAAAGCCCUUUUGUUGGGAAAGAAAAGCAGCAGGUUAAUACCCCGCUGUUCUGACGGUACCCAAAGAAUAAGCACCGGCUAACUUCG
This 490-nucleotide ribosomal RNA is filed under the name uncultured bacterium. RNAcentral's name for it is "partial 16S ribosomal RNA". It matches the Rfam family "Bacterial small subunit ribosomal RNA", at positions 29 to 505 of the family's 1533-position model. The record is from RNAcentral.